CUUCGCGUUCGCUGCGUGAGGCGGUGUGCGAGGCGGUCGGACGUGAGCGUGUUCGGCAAGGCUCUGGAAAGGCCGUCCUCUCUCCCAGUUCCCUGCUGUAGGCCCCCGACUCCCGCCCCCAAAAAGUGUUCGCCCCGGAUAAAUUUAGUUCAGGCUGGCCUUCUUCCAGAAGCUCAACAGUGCCAGUUUUAUCUGAAUGUUUCUAACUGGUUUCACAGACUUAAUCGCCCUUCUCUCCCUACAAUAUAGUGUUAUUACUUCUCCCUGACGAAGAUGAGGGGGAAGGUGAAAUAAGAAUGGCCAGGUCACCUGAGCACUGCCUUGUAACAUAACACGGGGGUCCCAAGAGAAAAAUCAGUUGCAUACCUAGCAGUGGAACAGUAGAACUGGAGUGUGCAUUUGGCUGACUGAAGACACGCUGGCGCUGUGAAAAUAACUUCUGAUGUCAGCAAGAUACUUCAUCUCACCUGCGUUGCACUGGUUCAAGCAGAGGGUCAGGGUCAAGUGUAUUGGCCUCUGUCCAUGCCAAGGCUGAAGGUGUCCAGUUCACAGGAUUUCCAAACCCCACAGAGUUGUGUACAGCAAGGAACAGGGAGGGGCUUGCACAAACAGCUGUAGAUCUGCUCCUUGGCGAGAUCCAAUUCGGAUGAACUCGACGACUACACAGUUCUCCUUCAGGCCUCUACUCCCUGAAGUUAAGGUUUUUUAAUGUUUUAUUACUCUCUAGCAUCCCUAAUACAACAAUUGUGGCUGCCAAGGUGUGGACCAAAGAUGGGGCUAGGCUCACUUGUUUUCCUAAACGGCCUCUCCUGCCGCUGUUACCAGAGGUGGACUAGUUGGCUGCAUGAGCCCUUAGUCUCGCCAACCAGGCUGUCUCUCUGAUUUUUACUUUCUGUUGCCAAUUCUCUUUCAUAGCUGCCAAAUCCAUCUCCUGAAAUCCUCACUCAGUAUUGCUUCUCAAACACAUUGUCUGUCGUUCCUUCUUAUUUUAUAAACAGCUGGACUGUUUGCUAGUUCAGCCUUCCAAGCGGCAUAGCUACCUAUUCUUAUUUGGAUGAGCCUGUCACAGGAAUGGAAAAAGGAGUAUUUAUCCAGUUUGAUGUAAAGCACUGGAGAAAGACCUCGUACUUUAUUGUUUUCAUCAACAUAAGAUCAUGGCCUCUAAAUUAACAUUUUUAGUAUUUUCCUGUUUGUGAGAAAUCUAGCAAGUGAACAGCCUCAGUGUGACAUGAACAUUAUAAUCCUUUCUAAAAUUACAUUUCUUUUAUCAUACAGCAGGUACUACAAAUUGAGAAUAAGGUUGAUUUCUAACACAUCAUCUUUUAUUGUCAUGAGUCCUGUUUUCCAAACUUCCUACUGAAAUUAUAAAUGUACUGAAUGCUUCAGAAUGCAAGACAAAAAUGUCAUUUCAGCCAGUGAUGGGGUUUUCAUCAGGAUAUGCAAAUGAGACUUUCAGAAGCCCAGUGGAAGAACAUCAUAUCAAUUAAUGGGGAGAUUAGAAGUCAAUCUGCUGAGUUUGUUUCCUCAUCAAAGACGGACAAAGAAAAUGCUCGUUGCCUGAAAAAUACACAUAAGUGUCAUCUGCCAGGAUUUGAAAGAAUCAGAAGCCAUCCUGAGAAAAUGAUGAAGUAAGCGGUGAGCAAUUGACCAUUCAAUUGACAGUGAACUAUUAAUGAAAAUGUUUUUCUUCACACCACAGAAAGGACCUGCCAUUUAAAAUGGACACAUUGGCACAUGCUAAAAUAUCAUCUCUGUACCAGACUUCACAAAGUUCUCUGUUAACUAACAUAAGUUCAUAUAUAACUCUCAUGCUUUUGUUUAUCCUUAUUUGGACAAGGCCAAAGGCUUUUUUUCAAUCCCUUGAAUUAUAUAGUCCAGAAAUUCACCAGACCUUCAAAAUUCAAAUCAGCUGUUAAAUUACUGAGAUAUUAUCAAAUCCAUUUUGUAAUAUUUUUUUUUCCCCAGAAAAACUGCACAUUUAUUCAGACAGAGAUUAACCUGCAGCAUGGCUGCAUAAAGUCAUGGUGUAUAUCAAUAAGAUGAUCCUUUGAACAAUGCUGGAGUACUUCCCUCACCCUGAAACUGAUGAAGAUUGCUACUGCAGAAAUGAGUGCAAAAAAAGGAUUUGUAGGGGUCCAGUCCCCCAAACUGCUGUCAGCAGAACUUCCAAAUAAGUUCUCUUGCAGUGUCAGUACUGGUUUUUUUCCCCCUAAUACUCACCUUGUAAUUUCUUACUUUUAGUCUACGAUUCCCAAAUGCACUGACCCAGUUGACCGAAUCUACCCUGGCAUAAGAAGCUGUAACUCCACGUCCUUCACUGAAGUUAUAUUUACCUGUAACACAGUUACACUGCGCUGGAACGUUUCACACAGGGAGGGUGUAGAGGUUAUCCAAACCACUUUCCCAUCCUGAGCGUCAGUCAUUGUACUUUAGCCACGUGCAGCAUUUUUACAAGGUAAAUAAUACAGUAAGAGUCAAAGAAAAUCAGUAAGACAAGAGGUUGAAGAGCAGACUGUCACUGAAAUUGGAAUGAUUUGUUUAAUAACACUGUGAAAUAGCACACUUCAGCUUCACCAGCUCAUCAGUGUCAGCUCCCCUAAUCUGUACAUGGCACUGAGAGCUUCUUAACGUAACAACGAAAUCCAUGGGCCAAAUUCACUUCUAGUGUAACGCUGCUGAAGUCGAUGAAGGUAUGUCAGAAUUAAUUUAGCCCAGUAAUUACUCUCCAUUAUCUGGAGUAAUGGUGGGGCUGCAACACCUGACGAAUGACAAACAUGGAUAAUACAGGUACUCUGCCGCAUGGAUGAAAGCAUCAGCAUGACCAUGCUUGGAAAUAGCUGAGAUCCAGUGUAGCCAGCACAGGCCCAGAACUGGAGGUGAAAUGACUUCUGCUGAACUUCGCGGGUGUCUUUGUACUGUGCUCCAAAAUGCUGCAGGCCGAGUAUGGGUUGCAGAGCUAGCGCGUCCUCCCCGAGCACAGAGGAGCAUAGUGCAAAGCUGCAGGAAUGGGGUUCCCUCUGGCCGGAUUUACUAGCUUCAUUUCAGCACCAGCUGGAUGGGUUCAUGGCAAAUCAGAAAAGGAGCCGCACCCCCCUGCUCCCUGUAGCUGGAGGACAACACUGAGACAUUAUGGCUGGAUCUGCACAGAGCUGAAGUGGAUUUAUAGGGGGCUUUAGCUGAUAUAUACCUAAAAUAUAGCUUGUAAGCAUUUAGCUUACAUAUAGGUCUGUACCAAAAUGGGCCACGUCUGGCACAUAUUGGCCACAGAUAAUUGAGAGUUAACUGGAUAUGAUUCAAACUAAAUCAUGUUUAAGAGACAGAUUUCUUUUCCUAGGAAUUUUCACGAAAACAGCCAAAUUCAAGAAGCAAAGCCAAAAUAAGAUGUAAUUUUAAAUUGUGGAUCCCUAAUGCACAAUGCACACACAUUGUAUGUGAUUUGUAAUUUAGAGGCCAGAGACGCAGUAAUUGCAUGUGUAGUAACAGUGGCACAUACCCCCAAGCACCAAUUCAAAUGGGACGCACCCAGCAGAAGUGAACUGGGGUGCCUGUUUCUCAUGCCUUGCCAUCCAGAAGGCUUACACAAAUCCAGGUCACUUUCUGUUUAAUCCCCUUUAUCCCAACGCUUUGUAACUUUUCCCAUCUCCUUACCUGCUCACAGUCAAACAACGUGGCUUUAGGGAUGGAUGCAUUUUGUUUACAUAAAAACCAUUUCCACGUAUGUCUUCAACAGCACUUAUGAACGUUGUCUGUCUGGUAACUGUCUUCCCUUUUUUAGGAAAAUGUUUAUAGACACAGAAGGGGCUAAAAGCACUGGUUAGCACCCUGGGAGAUGACAGCUCUUUGCAGGUAUCCAGAAGUGGAGAAGCAGCUGCUGUACCCUGUUUUAUCAACUGGAGGAUUACUGGGGGCUAGUGAUGAGGGUGGUGUCACCCAUUUUCAGCUCACAUCUGCUUCCAUCUCUGCCACUACCUCUCUCUGUUACCUUUGGCAGGUUACUUGCUUCUUGCUGCUAUUUUCAUCUAAGUGCAGAAAGAGGAUGAGGAUGAUAAUGUAGUAGGUGUUUUGAAGACUAACUCAAUAGUACUUAAGGCCCUUUCAGACACUCAAGUGAAAACAUGGGUGUAUAGAAAAAUCAAAGUAUAAUUAUUAUGAAAAUGUGUAUUAUUGUUUAGAGUAAAAGGGAAUUGAAGGCAGGGUGAUGAGAUAAUCAGACCACUGGAACUGAAGGAUUUUUGAGACAUAAUAUGAAAUAAGUGGAAAGCAGAACAUUUAAUUGAGCUUAGGGAGGGUUUUCCUAGCAAGCAGUGUUCAUUUCCUUCAUGAUUUUUUUUUUCAUAUUGGUAUCUUAAACAAGAUUAAGAUGUUGCAGUGUGACUGGAAAUAGGAAGUUGUAAAACAGUAUUUUAAGGGCCCAAUCCUGUAACCUUAUUCACAGUCCCAGUGAAUAUAACGCUAACAAGGUAAGUCCAGAUUUAGAUCCCUAUUGUUUUAUUAUUAUUGGUUAUAUCAUUAGAUAAAGGUCUACCAGAGACAAUACAACUUUUUUUACAAUUGUGAGACUUCUUAAGAAUUAUGUAAUCAAAAAGUACCUGAAGUUUUACCAUAUUUGGCUUUAUUGGAGAUGAAAGGUCCAAACUAACCCACAUUGCCCUCAAGUCCCCUGGCUGCCCCUAAGAAGCCAAUGUUACUUCUGUAACUAAUGUUCUUUUUGAGAGAACAUCUGGUACUUCAUGAAAUGGAGUAUCUACAACUUGAUGCAGAAAAGGCUAAAGGGAUGACACUUACAAAGCUCAGGUUGCCACAAAUCAGAUUUAACUAUAAUUGUACUGUGCAUGAUGUAAAGUCAGACAUAAAUGAGGUAUAACACUAAGAGAGUAGAAGUUAUAUUACCCUACAUUUCAUUUAUUUAACUUUCUUUAAUUUAUCUGCUUGUUUGGAUUACACAGAACCAUGAACAUUCCAGUAGCAGCCCUCUAGUUGGGAUUUCUAUUUAUAGCGUGCUGUCUCUUCAUUGGAUGCCCCUCUGCAUUAGUUUCAAUGAGGCAAUAAUUAGGCCCUUAAAGCAGACUUAAGAUAUCUUUAAUAAUUGAAUUUAGAUACAAAAUUUACCCAGUAUUCUUUCAAAAGACAAUAAUUUUUUGUAAUUCUUUGGGACUGUGAAAGAGGAUACAUUUCUAAAUGUUCCUCUUUUACAUUUUUCUCCUGUUUUUCUUUUAUGUAUUUUGGGGCUAAACAGCCACUAUCUCCACAAAUUUCAGAUUUCAUACAUGCACAUAUUUAGCCAUAAGGCAAUUCUGAACUUUCAAAAUUAAGCAUACAGCUAUUCCCUGUAGAAUAGAAGAUUUCUUUUGCAUUCUAAAUAAUUUCUGUCUUGAUAGCCAGGGGAACUACUUAGCUCUAUGGGAUGCUUAACUAGGCUCAGACUUUGCUGCUAAGUUGGAGAGAGAUGGGUUUGGUGGAUGGACUGUUCGAUGGGUAAGGAACUGGCUGGAUGGCUGCAUCCAAACAGUUACAGCCAAAGGCUUAGUGUCCAAGUGCAAACCACUAACCACUGGUGACCCUCGAGGGUCCAUACUGGGACAUAUGGGACAUUUUUUGUCCCAUAUAUUUGUCCCAUACUGGGACAAAUCCAGUCCAAAAUACUAAUAUCUUCAUCAAUGACAUAAACAGCAGGAUCGAGUGCACCCUCAGCAAGUUUGCAGCUGACACCAAGCUGAGCUGUGCAGUGGAUUUGCUAGAGGGAAGACAUGUCACCCAGAGGGACCUUGACAGGCUGGAGCAGUGGGCCCAUGUGAGCCUCACGUGGUUCAGCAAGGCCAACUGCACCUGGGUCGGGGCAACCCCUGGUAUCAGUACAGGCUGGGGGACGAAGGGAUUGAGAGCAGCCCUGUGGAGAAGGACUUGGGGAUACUGGUGCAUGAAAAGCUAGACAUGAGCUGACUGUACACUCGCAGCCCAGAAAGCCAACUGUAUCCUGGGCUGCAUCACAAGAAGCGUGGCCAGCGGUUUGAGGGAGGUGAUUCUACCCCACUCUGGUGAGACCCCACCUGCAGUACUGUGUUCAGCUCUGGGGCCUCAACAUAAGGACACGGACCUGUUGGAGCAGGUCCAG
Long non-coding RNA from Aquila chrysaetos chrysaetos, 6112 nucleotides. RefSeq lists it as uncharacterized. NCBI's taxonomy places the organism in Eukaryota, Metazoa, Chordata, Aves, Accipitriformes, Accipitridae. The transcript is spliced from 3 exons. The record is from RefSeq and is a predicted model, not a curated record.